Molecule: long non-coding RNA, 818 nt
Filed under: Mytilus galloprovincialis (Mediterranean mussel)
Lineage: Eukaryota; Metazoa; Mollusca; Bivalvia; Mytilida; Mytilidae
Source: RNAcentral
AAGUUAAUUGUUCCUAUAUAUAUAUAUAUUAGAAUAUAAAAUAUGUCUUUAAUAUAAAUAUGAAAAAAUCGAUGCGAAAAUUAUUUUGGAGCAGGAAUUUCAGAUGUUGAAAACUGUACACUGAAUGUUGAUAAAACAAAACAAAGAUUUCGUUACCAUGUCAGUUCAAAAACGAUCAUGCCCGCUUGGUUAGUAACUAUAUCAACUGUACGAUGAUACACAGUGAUAAUUGGCAAAAAAAAAAUACAUGUACAUGUAUACAUGGUAUAUGUCUGUUUACAGUUACUCGACUGACCCUAAUUUGAGCGCUGACUCAAAGCUAUUUUAUUCCUGUCAUUAAGUGAAAAAUUUAUAAAACUCGUGUCAAAAGCGAAGUAAGGGUUGCCAAUAAAUUUAAUCAAUUGCCUGAUACAUCCCAAUGUUCACAAUCGUGAAUAUGACAGCUGUUCUAAGGAAACUUGCAACUCGUGUCAUAAAAUAAAAACUUCACCCCCAUUUUUCCAACCAAUAACCAAGGGAAAUAAUCCAAUCAUUAAAAAUAUGGGUAAACUCGGCCCAUGGACAACUGAGACCAUGGCACAACUCAAAAUCAUGCACAAAAAAAGGAAAAGAAAAAAAAUAGUAAAAGUGAAAUACUGACCUACCUACCCUAUAUAUAUUGAUGAUAUACAUGUAAGAUUGUAACCUUAAACAGACAGACUGACAUGGCCAUAUAUACAAGUGUGGUCAUUUUAGCUCUUCUUUAUACAUGUCUUAAAUCAAUUUUCAUGAUUAACUAGAAAUACUGAAAUCACUGCCCGUAAUAGCCAGCCCCUCCA